GAGUAACGCGUAUCCAACCUGCCCAUCACUUGGGGAUAACCUUGCGAAGUAAGACUAAUACCCAAUGACGUCUCUAGAAGACAUCUGAAAGAGAGUUAAAGAUUUAUCGGUGAUGGAUGGGGAUGCGUCUGAUUAGCUUGUUGGCGGGUAACGGCCCACCAAGGCGACGAUCAGUAGGGGUUCUGAGAGGAAGGUCCCCCACAUUGGAACUGAGACACGGUCCAAACUCCUACGGGAGGCAGCAGUGAGGAAUAUUGGUCAAUGGGCGAGAGCCUGAACCAGCCAAGUAGCGUGAAGGAUGACUGCCCUAUGGGUUGUAAACUGCUUUUAUAAGGGAAUAAAGUGGGAGUCGUGACUCUUUUUGCAUGUACCUUAUGAAUAAGGACCGGCUAAUUCCGUG
This 400-nucleotide ribosomal RNA is filed under the name uncultured bacterium. RNAcentral's name for it is "bacterial SSU rRNA". It matches the Rfam family "Bacterial small subunit ribosomal RNA", at positions 108 to 507 of the family's 1533-position model. The record is from RNAcentral.